CCUACGGGGGGCUGCAGUCGAGAAUCUUCGGCAAUGGACGCAAGUCUGACCGAGCGACGCCGCGUGCGGGAUGAAGGCCCUCGGGUUGUAAACCGCUGUCGGAGGGGAUGCAUAGCCUCAAAGGAAGUGUGGGCUAAGUUCGUGCCAGCAGCCGCGGUAAGACGAACCACACAAACGUUAUUCGGAAUUACUGGGCUUAAAGGGUGCGUAGGCGGCGCGGAAAGUAGGGUGUGAAAUCCCUCGGCUCAACCGAGGAAUUGCGCCCUAAACUACCGUGCUCGAGGGAGAUAGAGGUGAGCGGAACUUAGGGUGGAGCGGUGAAAUGCGUUGAUAUCCUAAGGAACACCGGUGGCGAAAGCGGCUCACUGGAUCUCUCUGACGCUGAGGCACGAAAGCUAGGGUAGCGAACGGGAUUAGAUACCCUUGUAGUC
Molecule: ribosomal RNA, 431 nt
Filed under: uncultured bacterium
Lineage: Bacteria
Description: partial 16S ribosomal RNA
Rfam family: Bacterial small subunit ribosomal RNA
Source: RNAcentral